GAUGAAGAACGUAGCGAAAUGCGAUAAGUAAUGUGAAUUGCAGAAUUCAGUGAAUCAUCGAAUCUUUGAACGCACCUUGCGCUCCUUGGUAUUCCGAGGAGCAUGCCUGUUUGAGUGUCAUGAAAUUCUCAACCUUUUCAGCUUUCUUUGUUGAUCAGGCUUGGAUGUGGGAGUAUGCGGGCUUCUCAGAAGUCGGCUCUCCUGAAAUGCAUUAGCGGGACCUUUGUUGCCUGGCUUUGGUGUGAUAAUUAUCUACGCCAUUGUAGUCAAGCAGCUUAAAAUGAGGUUUCAGCUUCUAACCGUCUCCCCUGAGACAACUUUUUGACAAUUUGACCUCAAAUCAGGUAGGACUACCCGCUGAACUUAAGCAUAUCAAGCGGAGGA
RNAcentral lists this unclassified non-coding RNA (384 nucleotides) under soil metagenome. RNAcentral describes it as "partial contains 5.8S ribosomal RNA, internal transcribed spacer 2, and large subunit ribosomal RNA". The stretch from base 1 to 120 matches the Rfam family "5.8S ribosomal RNA", at positions 35 to 154 of the family's 154-position model. The record is from RNAcentral.